AGCUCCAAUAGCGUAUAUUAAAGUUGCUGCAGUUAAAAAGCUCGUAGUUGCAUUUCCGAGGCAAGGGAUUAGUCCGACCUUUGGUGGGUAUUUAAUCCUCUUGCCUCGUCCUUGAGUGGUGCUUCUUGGUAUUAAGUUAUCGAGGAGAUAGCCGCUCAUCGUUUACUGUGAGAAAAUUAGAGUGUUCAAAGCAGGCUUAUGCCGUUGAAUAUAUUAGCAUGGAAUAAUAAGAUAGGACCGCGGUACUAUUUUGUUGGUUUGAGAACCAAGGUAAUGAUGAAUAGGGACAGUUGGGGGUAUGCGUAUUCAGUUGUCAGAGGUGAAAUUCUUAGAUUUACGGAAGACGAACUACUGCGAAAGCAUUUACCAAGGAUGUUUUCA
RNAcentral lists this ribosomal RNA (381 nucleotides) under uncultured marine Chaetocerotaceae. RNAcentral's name for it is "SSU rRNA". It matches the Rfam family "Eukaryotic small subunit ribosomal RNA", at positions 587 to 972 of the family's 1831-position model. The record is from RNAcentral. Lineage: Eukaryota; Bacillariophyta; Thalassiosirophyceae; Chaetocerotales; Chaetocerotaceae.